RNAcentral lists this ribosomal RNA (404 nucleotides) under uncultured bacterium. Its description in RNAcentral is "partial 16S ribosomal RNA". It matches the Rfam family "Bacterial small subunit ribosomal RNA", at positions 338 to 734 of the family's 1533-position model. The record is from RNAcentral.
CCUACGGGUGGCAGCAGUGGGGAAUAUUGCACAAUGGGCGCAAGCCUGAUGCAGCCAUGCCGCGUGUAUGAAGAAGGCUUUAGGGUUGUAAAGUACUUUCAGCAGGGAGGAAGGUGAUAAGGAUAAUACCCUUGUCAAUUGACGUUACUCGCAGAAGAAGCACCGGCUAACUCCGUGCCAGCAGCCGCGGUAAUACGGAGGGUGCAAGCGUUAAUCGGAAUUACUGGGCGGAAAGCGCACGCAGGCGGUUAAAUAAGUCUGAUGUGAAAGCCCCGGGCUUAACUUGGGAAUUGCAUCUGAAACUGGUUAACUAGAGUCUUGAAGAGGGGAGUAGAAUUCCAUGUGUAGCGGUGAAAUGCGUAGAGAUGUGGAGGAAUACCGGUGGCGAAGGCGGCCCCCUGGAC